Molecule: ribosomal RNA, 254 nt
Filed under: uncultured bacterium
Lineage: Bacteria
Description: partial 16S ribosomal RNA
Rfam family: Bacterial small subunit ribosomal RNA
Source: RNAcentral
GACGGAGGAUGCAAGUGUUAUCCGGAAUCACUGGGCGUAAAGCGUCUGUAGGUGGUUUUAAUAAGUCAACUGUUAAAUCUUGAGGCUCAACCUCAAAAUCGCAGUCGAAACUAUUAGGCUAGAGUAUAGUAGGGGUAAAGGGAAUUUCCAGUGGAGCGGUGAGAUGCGUAGAGAUUGGAAAGAACACCGAUGGCGAAGGCACUUUACUGGGCUAUUACUAACACUCAGAGACGAAAGCUAGGGUAGCAAAUGGG